GGUUCCAUAGUGUAGCGGUUAGCACUCAGGAUUCUGACUCCUGCAACCCGAGUUCAAAUCUCGGUGGGACCU
Molecule: non-coding RNA, 72 nt
Organism: Polychytrium aggregatum
Lineage: Eukaryota; Fungi; Chytridiomycota; Chytridiomycetes; Polychytriales
Source: the annotation of a RefSeq genome assembly